AUCCCAUGAUGAGGACAGGCGGCAACGUACUCUUGCAGCCUUUCCCAGGAUUCCGGAAUGGACUCGUCCCUUCUGCUAGAAGCUUGAAAUUCUCCCACGAAGGGC
This is a small nucleolar RNA of Oryza sativa Japonica Group (Japanese rice), 105 nucleotides long. It matches the Rfam family "Plant small nucleolar RNA R71". Rfam says of the family: R71 is a member of the C/D box family of snoRNAs containing the C (UGAUGA) and D (CUGA) box motifs. Multiple nearly identical copies of this snoRNA have been identified in Arabidopsis, and it is thought to function as a 2'-O-ribose methylation guide for 18S ribosomal RNA. Lineage: Eukaryota; Viridiplantae; Streptophyta; Magnoliopsida; Poales; Poaceae. The record is from Rfam.